Long non-coding RNA from Pseudopipra pipra, 2321 nucleotides. RefSeq lists it as uncharacterized. Lineage: Eukaryota; Metazoa; Chordata; Aves; Passeriformes; Pipridae. The record is from RefSeq and is a predicted model, not a curated record. The transcript is spliced from 4 exons.
UCUGGAAAUGAUGAAAGGAUCACAUGAGGAGCAGGCACGGCGACCCAGGACCCUCAGAAGUCGGAGAAGGCAUCGGGCACAUAUAUCCUCUGCAUACUUUUCAGAGCACUUUUUUGACAAUGAUUUAUAUCUCCUUCCUGAAGCUGAUGGACAACCAGUGCAUUUUCUAAUGAAAAAAAAAAAACCAACACUUUCUUAUCCUCAAUCCACCCAUCCCUCCGUUCUCCAUGCUCCCGGUAUUUAUAAACCUGUCGCCAACAUAUAAGGCAGAGCAGACCAUUAUCGAUUGCAGGUAUUUCUGCCCUCUGUGCCCCCAGUCACGGAAGAAAGUAGGAAUGUUAAAAAGUUCUGCAAGACUGCAGAAAGUUUCCCUGCCCCACAGUCUCAGAGGGAUUAAACAGAACCAUUCCUGUUUCUCUCCCUGCCUCUGGACCCUCAGCCAGUCUACCCUUCAAGUCAGUGGAUGAUACUCAGGUAAUUUUUUCGUCAAAUCAAGAUCAUGUCAAUCCAGAAAAUUACUUAAUCGGGCAUUACCUGCUCCUGUGGAGAUGGGUCCUCCUUGGUAGGUCACCCAAAGCCCACUGGGUCCGGCAGGUUGAAAGGGGAGAAAGUGGCAGAACAGCUGGGCUCCGGCAUGGUACUGUUUCUAAGGUUCACCACCGAGGUCUCUGUUUUCCAUAGCUGUCACUGAUCACCAUCACCGAAGGUUUCUCUCAAAGAAAGGAGGAAGGAAAUUUUCUUCCCAAGCUGCUUUCUAGCCGGUCAUUUGACCCUGACACCCACCGAUGACACUGAAGAACACCCCGCUGAAGAGGCUAAACGCCUCGUAAUUUCCUUUUCUUCCCCCGACGGCCCCGGCGCACCGCCGCAGAGCGAUCUUAUCGCCGUGCGAUCAUUAUUCACGGGUGACAACCACAGAUGCAGUGCUCGUAAGUGAGGGUGACAGAUUUCAAACGCCGGGCUGCAGCGUACUCAGCCUCAAACAUAUUCUUCCUCAAACUUUGCCUACCAAGCAAUCAGCGGCUUAACCCUUUGCAACCCUUUCUGUCGUCCGGGCACCGAGCCCUCAGCACGGGGGGGAGCGCUGGUUUAAAGAGAAGAACAGGACAACACGGCUGCUUGGCGUGGGACUCUUUAUUACGUGCCAUUUUCUAUUCUUGGUUAUUUUCACUUGAAACAAAUCAGAAACGCCAGCUCUGGGAAGCAGAUGGAGAGCUGGAUACUUCUCUGUGAUUAGAAGCUGGAAAAAAUCCUCUCCACAAAGCAGAUCGCUGGGGAUUCACCUGCGGUCCCUCUUUGUCACCAGUCUAGUAUGCAAAUUGUCAUAUCCGUGGCAUGAAUCCCUCUCAUACGUGCAUAUACAGAGCUUCUGCACUUUCCUCAGCGUGUUAUGACAAAAAGUACAGUUCCAAAAGUACUAUUUCACUCAGACCUCCAGAUUCAGCUCGUUUACAGGUUAUUAACUACAACGGAGACAGGAGUGAGUGAGACCCAUAUUUCCAUGAGAGAAAAAAAAAGUUUUUUUCACACAUGCACUUUGUAGUCAAAGGAAAUAUUUACCAUCACCAAACUCCAGCAUGUCAGAACAUGUUUCCUCCAAAGCGCAAGAAAGCCUUAAAAAUGAGAGAAAAGCAUGUGCAAUUCAAAGAUGAAAUGAAGUGCAUGAAAGCUUUUCAAAGUCAGUACCACUAGCUCAGAGCCUGAUGUCAAGACAAUGAAUUAGCACUUGUAACACAAAGAUGUAGAGGAGGAAACAAAAUUAGUAAACUCCACUGGUUUUCUAAUAUUAAUUUAUAUAUGUUUUCAGUGCUUUAUGAUGUGUCUGUCACCUUCUCUGCCCCCCCUCCCACCCACCAAAAAAAAAAAAAAAGUGGGGACACGACCUCUAACUGCAGUUGAACGCCACCGAGAGCUCAUUCGUGGGCUGGGCUGUCGCGAGUUCCUUCCAGAGCAGAGUGGUCACAUAGCAGGAAGGACACAGAGUCAGCUAUAUUGUUAGAAUGAUUUCUGCAGCUUGCAAGAGAGAGGGUAAAAGGAGAUGGAAAUUAUUCUACAAGAUGAAGGUUUGAAUGUGUUCCUCUGCACUUCAAUGAAGAAAUGAAGCACUUGACUAGAAUUAGUUUAGGCUGAAAAGCAUUCAUACCCAAUAUGUACUUUCUCUGAGCUCUCACUUCUGAGGUGAGUUUAACGUGUGAAAAUGCCAUACUGUUUCUGAAACAAACUUUGAUAGAGUUUGUUGACUGACUCAAAUAGUAAAAUUCUACCAUUUUGGAGUGUAGGGAUUGGAUUUUAUCUCUGAAUAAAAUUAGUUAUAAAACUUA